This 2194-nucleotide unclassified non-coding RNA is filed under the name Dermacentor andersoni. RNAcentral describes it as "zinc finger protein 208-like". The record is from RNAcentral. Lineage: Eukaryota; Metazoa; Arthropoda; Arachnida; Ixodida; Ixodidae.
UUACAAAUUCCGUCGUGGAAGAUUUUAAACAAAUAUUAUUGAUAAUACAGACACCUUGACAUUAAAUGAUCGCAGUAUUACGCCAUUGAGAUCGCAAACUAUGCACAGAAUAAAGGAAUCAAUAGUAUCACCCCUUAUCAUCUACAAUAAGCUUGCCACAAGUGACCAUUUACAAUGAUUUCGUGUAUGCAAGUAACCAAGCAGCAAAAGUAACUCUGGCUGGCCAGAUUACAGGCAGCACACAGGCGUAUAGCAGCGCAAAUUUGCAUGUUUACAAACAUGCAAACAUUAUUAACAUCUGCAUAACCGCCUCCGCCUUCUUUAGAAGUCCUUCAUGCAGCAACCGUACAGUCGGUGGCACGGACUACGUCAAUGAUACCGACUGUCUUGACGGUCCUCUGAGCCAUCAGCAGUGCGCGACUACGCCACCCAGGGUCAGCGCUGAUAUAUACAGGCCAGCUGAUAUUGACCACUGAUGAAAACACAGGAGAACGCGCGUCAGAACAAGCGACAUUAGAGCGAGGACAGUGAGACGAGAGGAGAGCCCCACAUGGCCCACGUCUGGCAGAGCCACACGCGGAGCAGCAGUAGGGCUGACCAGGAGAAGCAUCACGUGAUCCUGCCAGAGCUGCAGACGGACUAGCAGAUCGGCAGCGCACGGAGCGGAGUGCGGCCGGGCCUUCACCGUAUCCUUCAACGGACCGCGGCUAGCGAAACCUACGCCUGUGUUACAGUUUCGCCUGCUCCGCAUCAAGAAUAUACGCCUUGCGACUGGCUAAAAGAACAACACAAGAUCGCUUUGGCCGUCCGAGAGGUGCCGAGGGCUCUUGCAGUGUUGGCAAAGGCCAACAUGGCGCCCCAGCCUUGUCUGCCCCGCUACAAAGAGACUCGCUGCUGCUCUCAUCGACGUCGCAGCCGUGCAGUGCAUCUUGAAGGCUAGCUGGACCAUGGAGCUUAUCUUUAGGUGGGCAAAUGCAUGUCAAAAUUAUGUUGUAGAUAGAACACAACAAAGUUUAAUUUGGUAGCCAGCAUAUGAUGGCUUGUGUUACCAACUUAAUUCUGCAAGCAGCAGUGUACUUCCCCCAUUCCUACUUUGUGGUAUGUUGCUGUAUACUGUGACAGGAGAGCAUAACAAUACAUGGUCCAUUAGUUUUCUGCUCAUCAUUAAUUUGGAAGUAUUUCUUGCAGCACUAUUUAAAAUUGUGCUGUAAAACAGUGUUUCAUGCCACAUAAAUAUCAUCACAGAGCAGGGGCUUUGUACUGAAUUAUGACUCACUGCAUACUAUGACAUCUGAGCCUUGUGCCUCACUGCACAAGGCUCAGAUGUCAUGCCACCGUGUUACUGUGUUGUGUUACUGGGUUCAGUCUAGUGUAACUUGUGUAAGUAUAUACCUAUUCCCUCUCCAUUCAGCAUUCUUAGCAUCAAAGGAGGAAAAAAAAAAAUGUUCUCAUAAUAUGUAUAAGCAGACUUGCCUGAAGUCGACCUCUCCUUCUUCACACCAUGGAUUUUGAUAAGGGGAAGUGGCUUAUACUUAUUUUAGUGUAAUACAGUACCAGCACCUAAUCCUUAUAGAGUUGCUUUUAGAUAAUUUGAUUUGAAAUUCUGACUGCAGGUGCAAUUUCUUUUGGCAGUAUAUGUACACACAAAGCUAAUCUUUUAUGCCUUGUUCUGCAAUCAUUCACUACCUAGUCUAAAUUCACUAAGGUAAUGCUUUGUGCUUUAUUCCAUGGCUAUUAAAUGCCACUAUUUCUUAGUACAAGGUUUGCUGUUGUUGAUGCAUCACCUAACUUGUGCAUCUAGGUAAGGCAAGAACAUUUAGAGCGGAAAGUGAGUCAGAUGUGUUGGUACUGCAAGUUUUGUUUAGUGUAUAUAUAGUGUAUCGUUAUACCUGCAUUAACUGAAAGGCUGGAACGCUUUGAAUGGUCCUGUGUGAGAUUAUAGCAUAAUGUUUUCCUUAGAUACGCUCCUGCAGUGUAUAUAGUUCAGCUAUGUUGUAGAAGAAUUUGGGAGUUGUUUAUGGCGCUAUACAGAAAAAAUGUCAAAACAGCAACUAAUGUGAACCAUUAAUCAAAUUCAAAGUUGUAUGUGUGUACUAGAAUGACAGCUAUAUUGGUUGCAAUUACACUUGCUUUCAAAAAUGUGCUGCCUUCAUUGUGGCUGACAUUAAAGGAGGUGUUAACAUCCUUUACAAAA